AGCUAAUUAGCUAGCCUACCUAACAACCCAAUCAAAUACUUCUACUAACCCCUAAUACACUAAAAAUAUUCAACUAAACCAUUCAUCUUCCCUAGUAUAGGCGAUAGAAAAGGAAUAAAAGAGCAACAGAUAUCAGUACCGCAAGGGAAAGCUGAAAGAGAGGUGAAAAAGACCAAUAAAGCUAAGAAAAGCAGAGAUUACCCC
RNAcentral lists this ribosomal RNA (204 nucleotides) under Coryphaena hippurus (common dolphinfish). RNAcentral describes it as "partial 16S ribosomal RNA". Lineage: Eukaryota; Metazoa; Chordata; Actinopteri; Carangiformes; Coryphaenidae. The record is from RNAcentral.